This 125-nucleotide small RNA is filed under the name Marmota monax (woodchuck). Lineage: Eukaryota; Metazoa; Chordata; Mammalia; Rodentia; Sciuridae. The record is from RNAcentral.
GCCAGGUGUAAUGGCACACACCUGUAAUCCAAGCACCUCAGGAGGCUGAGGCAGGAGGAUCAUGAGAGUGAAGCCAGCCUCAGCAAUGGUGAGGAGCUAAGCAACUCAGUGAGACCCUGUCUCCA